Long non-coding RNA from Gossypium raimondii (Peruvian cotton), 487 nucleotides. RefSeq lists it as uncharacterized. The transcript has 2 exons. The record is from RefSeq and is a predicted model, not a curated record. NCBI's taxonomy places the organism in Eukaryota, Viridiplantae, Streptophyta, Magnoliopsida, Malvales, Malvaceae.
UGAGCAUAGAGCGAACUAUUCUUUCGCCUUUUACUAAAGAAUACCGUGUGCUCGCCGUCCAGACUGGCAUACGCUUAUUUUUGGAGCUUUAAUUCUUUCAUUGGAAUGGCCCCUCAAAUUUUAGUUUAUUUAUUUUUUAGUGUUCUUCUCGGCUCUAGAUCCAGAUCCUCUCAAAUAUUCGUUAUAUAUAUUUGAAGUACAUAAAAGCUCUUGCUGGAAAACCCACAAAGAUGGCAACGGAAUUUGUUGAUUUUGUCUUCAACAUUUUGUCAGUCUGUUGGCACUGCCGUCACUGUCGUAAGGCUCCCUACUGGAAAAGGAAUGGUGGGACGGCCUUGGAACCCUUAAUGCCAGCAUUGAAAAUUUUGGGUGAUAGCUACAUGGAAUCAGCAGCAAACAAAGGCACCCUUUUAAAGCCUAUGGUUUUGUAACUAUGGUGCUAAUAAUGUACCACUCUUGUUUCCAAACAUGCAAUUCUCCACAUCCA